UUAAGCAUUGGUUAUUAAGUCAUAAACCCUUUGGCAAUCUUUCCUUUAGGCCUACUCAUUGCAACAGAUUUCGAUAGCGUGCAAAGGUGUAGCCUAUCCCAAGCGGGAGAACUUACAGCCCCGAAGUACUUUUAAUCAAGAGACUCGUCUUUGACAGUUUGAUACAUCUCACUCAACCAACCUGUCAACAGUAUAACGGUGGUGCAUAUAAGGACAAUGGGAAGACGUGUGUGUCUUAUUAACUUAUAGGACACAAAUGUAGCCUACUUAUCAAGUGUGUCAUGGAGGAUAAAACAUUCGAUUGAGAUAAGAGACUAUAUUGUCUUGUCUGCUUGUGUAAGCUAUCCAAAGUGUUUGACUUCGGAUCCCUGUUGUGUUAAUCAAUAUCCCAAUUGGAACUUACUCAAAGGUAAGUUAUAUGUAUUAAAACCUAGAAUAGAGUCUUCUAGACCUCACCAUCUACAACACACCAUUCUGAGCGGGGUCUGUUUUGAAACAAGUCGUGAUAAAAACUGGCAAAUGCCAUCGCGUGCGUGUACCUGUUAGCAGUCAAGUUAAAGAUUGGCCAAGUUGCGUGAGAGCGUUUUGGCCAAGCCCUCGCCUCCCCCAGCCCUUGGUUAAGGAUGCUGGGGUGUGGGGGUGGGGGAGUAUUCUGUCAGCACUGCAGGGGUGAAAGGGUGAAUGAGUUCAUUACCCUUACAGUCUCUCUUCUUUUAGGAAAUGUACAUCCUAUUCCAGAUAGCCCACUGACAGUGAAUAUAUAUCGACUCUGCACAGCAAUACGAGGGAUUUCCAACAUAGUUGGACCAUGGACUGAAACAGCGCCCACAGCAAAUUGAAAUUCCCUUGAAGAAUCUCCCUUUCUGAGUAAUGACUGUAAAGGCAGCUGAAGUCUUCAGUCCUUUGGCACGCAACAACCAAACACCUGUCACACACCUUCAAACCAGGGCCCUGGUGUUCCCCAUCCACCCACCCCACCUCAGCUCUCUGACUCAGGGGCUACAAGGC
Salvelinus sp. IW2-2015 is the source of this 1008-nucleotide non-coding RNA. The record is from RefSeq and is a predicted model, not a curated record. Lineage: Eukaryota; Metazoa; Chordata; Actinopteri; Salmoniformes; Salmonidae.